GACACGCUUUAACCGGCAAUUAAUGUUUGCGCGGUAAUCUCUCAUUAUUCAGGUUCUUCUGAAUUUUUCAGAGUGGUUUCUCCCUCUGUUUGACGCCUCCCUGUUAACUUCGAGAGCCGUUCUUACGGCUCUUUUUUC
Molecule: small RNA, 138 nt
Filed under: Devosia sp. LC5
Lineage: Bacteria; Pseudomonadati; Pseudomonadota; Alphaproteobacteria; Hyphomicrobiales; Devosiaceae
Description: Alphaproteobacterial sRNA BjrC1505
Rfam family: Alphaproteobacterial sRNA BjrC1505
Source: Rfam by way of RNAcentral